This 473-nucleotide ribosomal RNA is filed under the name uncultured bacterium. RNAcentral's name for it is "bacterial SSU rRNA". It matches the Rfam family "Bacterial small subunit ribosomal RNA", at positions 8 to 526 of the family's 1533-position model. The record is from RNAcentral.
AGAGUUUGAUCCUGGCUCAGAACGUACGCUGGCGGCACGCCUAACACAUGCAAGUCGAACGAAGUAGCAAUACUUAGUGGCAGACGGGUGAGUAACAUGUAGGUAUCUGCCCUUUGGCCUGGAAUAACACGAGGAAACUUGUGCUAAUACCGGAUAAGUCUUAACGGAGAAAGCUUUAUGCACCAUUGGAUGAGCCUGCACUUGAUUAGUUUGUUGGUGGGGUAAUGGCCUACCAAGACUGUGAUCAAUAGCUGAUUUGAGAGGAUGAUCAGCCACAUUGGGACUGAGACACGGCCCAAACUCCUACGGGAGGCAGCAGUGGGGAAUCUUGCACAAUGGAGGAAACUCUGAUGCAGCGAUGCCGCGUGAGUGAAGAAGGCCUUUGGGUUGUAAAGCUCUUUCGUCGGGGAAGAAAAUGACUGUACCCGAAUAAGAAGGUCCGGCUAACUUCGUGCCAGCCGCCGCGGUAAUAC